GAUGAACGCUGGCGGCGUGCCUAAUACAUGCAAGUCGAGCGAACGGACGAGAAGCUUGCUUUUCUGAUGUUAGCGGCGGGCGGGUGAGUAACACGUGGAUAACCUACCUAUAAGACUGGGAUAACUUCGGGAAACCGGAGCUAAUACCGGAUAAUAUUUUGAACCGCAUGGUUCAAAAGUGAAAGACGGUCUUGCUGUCACUUAUAGAUAGAUCCGCGCUGCAUUAGCUAGUUGGUAAGGUAACGGCUUACCAAGGCAACGAUGCAUAGCCGACCUGAGAGGGUGAUCGGCCACACUGGAACUGAGACACGGUCCAGACUCCUACGGGAGGCAGCAGUAGGGAAUCUUCCGCAAUGGGCGAAAGCCUGACGGAGCAACGCCGCGUGAGUGAUGAAGGUCUUCGGAUCGUAAAACUCUGUUAUUAGGGAAGAACAUAUGUGUAAGUAACUGUGCACAUCUUGACGGUACCUAAUCAGAAAGCCACGGCUAACUACGUG
This 497-nucleotide ribosomal RNA is filed under the name uncultured bacterium. Its description in RNAcentral is "partial 16S ribosomal RNA". It matches the Rfam family "Bacterial small subunit ribosomal RNA", at positions 28 to 507 of the family's 1533-position model. The record is from RNAcentral.